UGGGGAAUUUUGGACAAUGGGCGCAAGCCUGAUCCAGCCAUGCCGCGUGCGGGAAGAAGGCCUUCGGGUUGUAAACCGCUUUUGUCAGGGAAGAAAUCUUCUGAGUUAAUACCUCGGGAGGAUGACGGUACCUGAAGAAUAAGCACCGGCUAACUACGUGCCAGCAGCCGCGGUAAUACGUAGGGUGCAAGCGUUAAUCGGAAUUACUGGGCGUAAAGCGUGCGCAGGCGGUUUUGUAAGACAGAGGUGAAAUCCCCGGGCUCAACCUGGGAACUGCCUUUGUGACUGCAAGGCUUGAGUGCGGCAGAGGGGGAUGGAAUUCCGCGUGUAGCAGUGAAAUGCGUAGAUAUGCGGAGGAACACCGAUGGCGAAGGCAAUCCCCUGGGCCUGCACUGACGCUCAUGCACGAAAGCGUGGGGAGCAAACAGGAUUAGAUACCCUGGUAGUCCACGCCCUAAAACGAUGUCAACCGGUUGUUAGGGGAAAUGUUUCCCUUUCCUCAGGUAACGUAGCUAACGCGUGAAGUUGNCCG
Molecule: ribosomal RNA, 532 nt
Filed under: uncultured bacterium
Lineage: Bacteria
Description: partial 16S ribosomal RNA
Rfam family: Bacterial small subunit ribosomal RNA
Source: RNAcentral